CUCGCAGAGGCUCCGCACUUGGCUCUCGCUCAGCUGCUUGCACUCGUUGAGCUGCUCGAUCCAUUGGUCCAGCUCCUUGGUGAA
Non-coding RNA from Podarcis lilfordi (Lilford's wall lizard), 84 nucleotides. The record is from the annotation of a GenBank genome assembly. Lineage: Eukaryota; Metazoa; Chordata; Lepidosauria; Squamata; Lacertidae.